Long non-coding RNA from Neogale vison (American mink), 736 nucleotides. RefSeq lists it as uncharacterized. Lineage: Eukaryota; Metazoa; Chordata; Mammalia; Carnivora; Mustelidae. The record is from RefSeq and is a predicted model, not a curated record. The transcript is spliced from 3 exons.
UAACCCACUGAGCCACCCAGGCGCCCCUAAUUUUUGGGAUCUUUUGAGUUCUUGUAGCUUUUUAAUAUACUACCUCUUCAGGUAAUUAAUUACAUUGAAAAAAAAAAAAAACAAGGAAAAAGUCAACCAGCUCACAAACAAUGAGCCAGGCAUACAUUGGCAGUGAUAUAUACUUUUAAAAAAGCUAAUUAGAAAAAAAAAUGCUGCAGUACAUAUCAUCUAGCUAAGUGUUAAAGCAGAAAUAGAAGAAAUUGACACAUUCCUGCAGAAGAAAAAAAAUUGCCAGUGAUCAUCCUGUAUCGGUGCCAAAGACAUCCUGAAGAGUUUCUCCUUUAGACGGACCAUGAGGGUGUUUCGUAGGUUCUUCUUGCAAAGGUCCUGCUUCCCCUGGAACCCACCUUACAGCACUUCCCUUGGAAAUACUCAAAUCAAAAGAGAACCUGCGAAUGAAUCUACUGGAGAACAGCAGCAUGCAUCACAGCCCAUUUGCUACGGAAACUAUGUUCGGCAAGCAUCAAAUGUCUGAAUUUCUUUUCCUGGGCAUCGUGGAGUUGACAGGGUUUAUUUAUAACAGGGGAUAUUCUAAAAUUGGCCACUAACCAGCACAGAAAAGUAAAGUCCAUAGUACUGCUGCAAAUUCAAGUCCUUCUUUCUGUAAACGCAAACAGAAGCGGAGCGGGCCGCAGCCGUGCUUGAAAGGAGGAGAGAGAGAGAGAGAGAGCACGCACAAGCAGGA